This is a long non-coding RNA of Lepidothrix coronata (blue-crowned manakin), 447 nucleotides long. RefSeq lists it as uncharacterized. NCBI's taxonomy places the organism in Eukaryota, Metazoa, Chordata, Aves, Passeriformes, Pipridae. The transcript has 3 exons. The record is from RefSeq and is a predicted model, not a curated record.
GUAAAAAUCGUAGGGAAUACUGGAUGUGACUUGCAAGUGAUGGAAGUCAACCACAUGUAGCUUUCCAUCAAUUUCAACUACUAAGUGAGAAAAAAAGGAUGGUCCGUUCUCUUCACAAUGGUCUGCUGCCCAGACUCUGUGGAGCAUGGUUAUAGCUGAGGCUGCAGAAUCGUGUCACGUCAUGGAGUCAACUUGGAUCCCAUGCCAGAAGUCUGCCAUGAAUUUCACUUAGAAGAGUCUUCUGGCAAGACAUCUCAGUCUUUGAUACCUUUGCAAAUUAAGCCGCCAAGACCGGACACGACAACAGUGGUAUGGAAGGUCAUUUUUGUAAUAUUUUUCUGUCUUAAAUUUAGAACUCAAAAAAAAGCCUGAAGGUGUUUUCAAUUGGCAACUUUGUUUUUCACCUCACUGUUUAACCACUCUAGUGUUAAUUCCCACACUGAUAUA